RNAcentral lists this ribosomal RNA (406 nucleotides) under uncultured microorganism. Its description in RNAcentral is "bacterial SSU rRNA". It matches the Rfam family "Bacterial small subunit ribosomal RNA", at positions 9 to 418 of the family's 1533-position model. The record is from RNAcentral.
GAGUUUGAUCGUGGCUCAGAUUGAACGCUGGCGGCAUGCUUUACACAUGCAAGUCGAACGGCAGCGCGGGGCAACCUGGCGGCGCGUGGCGAACGGGUGAGUAAUAUAUCGGAACGGUACCCAGAAGUGGGGGAUAACGUAGCGAAAGUUACGCUAAUACCGCAUACGAUCUACGGAUGAAAGUGGGGGAUCGCAAGACCUCAUGCUCCUGGAGCGGCCGAUAUCUGAUUAGCUAGUUGGUGAGGUAAAGGCUCACCAAGGCGACGAUCAGUAGCUGGUCUGAGAGGACGACCAGCCACGCUGGAACUGAGACACGGUCCAGACUCCUACGGGAGGCAGCAGUGGGGAAUUUUGGACAAUGGGCGCAAGCCUGAUCCAGCAAUGCCGCGUGAGUGAAGAAGGCCUU